RNAcentral lists this long non-coding RNA (1761 nucleotides) under Daphnia pulicaria. RNAcentral's name for it is "uncharacterized LOC124312154, transcript variant X3". Lineage: Eukaryota; Metazoa; Arthropoda; Branchiopoda; Diplostraca; Daphniidae. The record is from RNAcentral.
CCAGAAACAAGCAAUAUUAAAAAAAAAUCAUUAAUUUGUGUAAAUAUGUUGUAGACUUGUAGACUUGUUGCGCUUGUAGUCACAUUUUGACAGUUCGGGCCGACGUUCUGACCACGAUUCUGACACUCAGGCCUGGGCCUGCUCAUGGAACGUCAUCGAACAUUGUUUGUUGUGGUUGUGUUCAAUCCAACCAAUGAAAAAUUCAGCAUGGAGGUUGAUCAACCUGUUGUUCAAGAUUCAAGAAAAUAAGCCACAAGCUGUUGCUUUCACUCCGUCAAUCCUGACAAAUGUGGUGUUUUGAAAAAAAUCAAGCAGACAGGAACUGGCAAUGUGCAGCACAGAAUAAGGGCAUCUUAGUCUACUACACAGGCUGUUUGACGAAACAUGGAACUUGAUUCCAGUUGGGACAGAGGGUAGAAAUUAAACUUCAACCGUGGCAAAGUGUAAGCCAUGGAACCUUACUGGUGUAUAGCUACCAUUGAAGCGUGGAGAGGUGGCAGCCAGCUUGUAAAUUUUAAAUCCAAUUAUGCCUGCAGUGAAAAUGGAAACCCACCUAAAAAUUUCUCUGAAAAGCCACAACAUUGCCGGUGUUUGAAGUUGGAAGUUAGAAGAUCUCACCAAAGCAAUUGGUAGAGGAAUUUUAAAUCAAACUUGAAAGUUGGAAGUCGUGAUGAAGAAUGCAAUUGUUGAAGGAGUUAAGCUUGCUCGGUGACGGUGUUGAACAUGCUCUGUUGAAAUUCAAGAAGCAAGAGACGAGGAGCUUGAUGAAAUUGACACCGGCUCUGCUGGUAACGAGCAACUCGGUGUUCCACCCAACGCCAACUUCGAAUGCGAGAUUGAACUCAAGAGCUUCGAAAAGGCUAAAGAGAGCUGGAAGAGGUUAAACUCUGCAAGGAAAAAGGAAUCAAUCAUUUUAAAAGGCCUAAUACGCGGCCAACAAACAGAGUACUCCAAAAUCGUCCCCUCCUCGAGUUUGAACAAACUCUUAAAGACGAGAAAGCUACAGAACGAGAACAGCUUAUGUUAGUAACACACUCAAUCAGUCCAUGUGCUGUUUAAAGUGAAGCGAUUUCUGUGCAAUUCGUGAUCAAUGCCAAAAGUCGCUAGAAAUGGACCCAAAAAUGAAAAAGGUUUAUUCCUCAUUGGCCAGCUUGUAGGCAAUUUGGGGCAUCCACAAGCUGGAGGAAACUAAGAAGCAUUUCGAGGCGAUUCUGGAUUCUCCAUGAUUCGGACAAUAAGGCGGGCGCCAAUCAAGUGCUGGUGAUCUGCAAAGCCAAGAUUUGCAAGCAACGCGAAACGGACAAGAAAUUGUGUACGCUAGUAUUUUCAACAAGAUGGACGUAAAUGAUUGACAGGUUAAACGAAAAGAAUGAAGGCAAAUGGCUUUACGGUUGGUGGGACGAGUCGACGAAAGGUGUCUAGCUAAACGCUGAUCUUGCUUAAAUCGAACGAGAUAAAUAAGAGCUGUGGAGUAUUUAAAGGUCAGGUCGAUCGUAGGAAAAUUAAUGCAGAUUUCUUCAAGCGCUACUGGCAGGAAACCCAAUAUCGUAUCAGUCAACGGGAAGCCGCUGAAUGUGAAUGAAAAUGACGGUAUGGAAAAUAGUGAAAUAGCUUCUUCUAAACUCUCUACCAAAUGGCGGAGUCUACAGAAGCAUCCAACGACAAUCAGAUGAUCUUCGUUAAAGGUUUUCGUGACUGCUUUUGCACCAUUUGAAUUUGAAUUUUGUAUCUUGACUUUUCAAAUAAAAAUUCUGAAUUUGG